AACAAAAAGGAGAUGGGGAAUCAGUGGAAGUAUUAAAAUGAAAUGAGUUGUAGAACUGUAAGGCUCCAGCUGGGCCUGACUCCUGGCCCCAACCUGCCGGCCGGCAGAGACACUGUCCUCAGCCGCGAGCUCAGCUCAGCAGCACAGCCGUCAUGGGAAACCACAGGACGUGGAAAGGAGGUGGUCUUCUUGCCUUCUGUCUGCCUGCGUCCAGGGACAACAGAUUUCACGCCAUGCUGCCUUCUCACAAACCUGGUGCCUCUGCUGUUUGCUAAGUCCUUCCUGGUUUUUGGAUUCUGGAGUAGAGAGUUCUGCUGUUUCUCAGGUCCUUUCAGAAGUAGAGCCUUAAACAAAGGGUUGCACGCAGGCAGUUCACUGUAGAGGCGGAGAUCAGAGGGAACAAGCAGGAAUUCUGAGGAGGACAUGAGCGGAAAGCGCUGGACACACACAUUACAGUGUAGCAGUAUCCAUACCUGAAGUUGUUCAACUUUUAGAAACUUUGGACCAACCUAUUGAAUGCAUCUUGG
RNAcentral lists this long non-coding RNA (527 nucleotides) under Chinchilla lanigera (long-tailed chinchilla). RNAcentral's name for it is "lncRNA (ENSCLAG00000022660.1)". The record is from RNAcentral. Lineage: Eukaryota; Metazoa; Chordata; Mammalia; Rodentia; Chinchillidae.